UUUCACCCAGAGCGGGACACUCUGAAUACGGAAGCAAGCCGUCGUCAUUUUGUUUUGUUUUCCUUAUCGGAAAUACGCAGCAAAACUGCUUUAAUGCGAGGCCGUUUGUGAUUAAAGACACUUUUUGAGUGCUAACUUUGGAACUUUAAAGCAGGUGCAGCUUCUUCAAGAGAUGGAGGAGUUGUACACUUUAGAAAAGGAGGUCGGGCGUGGUAACUAUGGCGUUGUCUUUGAGGGCCAUAUAGCCAAAACAGGACAGCGGGUGGCUGUGAAGCGUCUGUCCUGCAAGAACGCAGAAUGCAUAGAACUCUACUUGCAGGAGUUGUGGGCCAUGAGAGCCACAGCCCAGAACCAUGCAAAUAUCAUCGCGUUGCACAGCUGCCUCCUGCAGACCGGGAGGAGAAGUUUGAAGCCUUUGAAAAAGGGCAAGUUGCCUCUGCAUCUAGUGGAAAGUGUGCUGAAAGGGACUGUUGUGGGGACAUUGCCACACGGACAGGAGACAGGUUCCCGGUCUAACUCUGGACGGAGAGCCAAGUCUGAGUCCAGACUUCAAGACAGGACCAACACUCUCCCAUCAAACGCUUCAACACCACAAAGGCCUCCAAACAGACCCAGGAAGAGGUCGUCUUGGAGGGAAGACGAGCAGCCCCUGACUUACUCCGCCCUUUGGCUCGUGAUGGAGUACUGUGACGGAGGAGACCUGAAUCACUACCUGCUGUCCAGACCACCCGACGUCCAGCGGAACCACGAUGUGGUGCAGCAGCUCAGCAGUGCUGUGGCCUUCCUGCAUCACCUGGGUAUCAUCCAUCGAGACCUGAAGCCUGACAACGUGCUUGUCAGCAUCAAACCAAACGGCCCUGUUUUUAAGGUGGCAGACUUUGGUCUGAGCAAGAUGAGUGAAGGCCUGCUGGAUGGUGAUAUGACCAUGAAGCAUUUCUCCUCCACCUGCGGCUCAGACUUCUACAUGGCUCCAGAGGUGUGGGGGGGACUGCCCUACUCGGCCCAGGCAGACAUCUUCUCGCUGGGCGUGAUGUUCUGGGCCGUCCUGGAGAGAAUCACCUUCUUGGAAGAAGGAACCACCCAGGAACAACUGGGUGCGUACGUGUGCAAGGGGCGCCGGUUGAUGCCGCUGGGCGAGGCUUUGUGGGAGAACGCCGACCUCCAGCUGUGUAUCCCCAUCAAGUCCAAAAGAGCAACCCCGCUGCCACCGCCUCCCGGCCCGGCAACAUGCGCCCUGCUUUUGCACAUGCUGGCCUCAGACCCGGAUUGGCGGCCCCCCGCCGACCAGCUGGAAUGCGGCAUACGCGCCGCUCUGAGAGAGGACGCCUGCUGACACAAGGAGUCCUAAUGGCCACAGCCGCCACAUGCCAACAUGGCCUGUGGACUGCAGCGUCUUCUCCAGGCGCAGAUGACAAGGCUUUUUAACCCAACCAGCCGGACGUUUCCGAAUGAUUUGUUUGAAACCUCCAAUGUCGCAACGGGAAGUGCAGUGCGAUCUUCAAAGUACAGUGGAACCUCGAUUUACAAACCCCUCUUUUUGCAAACUUAGCCAAAUAUGCCUCUGUCUGCUUCAUUCGUUCAUUUCGUGUCCCGCUGGCAGCCAUUGAGAGAUUGACGACGCGGGCUUCAUACCACAGCAAGUUUUAAUCGUGAUGAGACUGGACGGCCAGUGUGCUCUCCUAAGAGCACACACAUACACACGGCGCCUCCUCCCCUAUGUCCGCUCCUUUCUCUCUCAUCAGCAGCUCAUUUGCCGAUGACAAUGUAAAGUGGAUUUUGUAAUUUUUUUUUUUUUUUUUUAAUUGUUGUAGCAAUAUGAUUGUUUUGGGAUUUCUGAUUGUUUGUGAGGGUAUCCAUGGGACUUCUGUGUUGGCAGAGCAGCGCAUACAGGACAGUUGAGCUUGUCAUUGUUGAUACAUUGAUGUUGCUAAUAAAGAGAAAGUUGAUUCAUCACCUGCUUGUAAUGUUUGUUUGAUUUACAGUACAGUAUAGCACUUUAUAUCGCGUACAAACCUUCACGAAAAUACGGAACCCAUUAUUCAUAUUUACAUUUCUUAUGGAGCAAUUUUGUUUCGCUAUUCCAACUUUUCUAUAUAUGAACCAAUCAUAAAUCGAGGUUCCACUGUACCAUAAGUCUUGAACCAGCCAGGGUAGGAUGGGCCACCAAUCGUUAUUUGAUCGGCCUCUGCCAAUGAAUGCCUUUCAAAGCCCUUUAUUUUUGAUGACUCUGCUGACCGAGGUGUUA
Entelurus aequoreus (snake pipefish) is the source of this 2245-nucleotide RNA transcript. It is a transcript of the gene named Serine/threonine-protein kinase pdik1l-B-like, with no coding region annotated. The record is from RefSeq and is a predicted model, not a curated record. The transcript is spliced from 5 exons. Lineage: Eukaryota; Metazoa; Chordata; Actinopteri; Syngnathiformes; Syngnathidae.